RNAcentral lists this transfer RNA (84 nucleotides) under Nanobdellota archaeon. RNAcentral describes it as "tRNA-Leu". It matches the Rfam family "tRNA". Rfam says of the family: Transfer RNA (tRNA) molecules are approximately 80 nucleotides in length. The record is from RNAcentral. Lineage: Archaea; Nanobdellati; Nanobdellota.
GCGGGGGUGCCUGAGUGGUCAAAAGGGGCAGACUCAAAAUCUGCUGGCUUAGUGCCUUCAUAGGUUCAAAUCCUAUCUCCCGCA